This 253-nucleotide ribosomal RNA is filed under the name uncultured bacterium. Its description in RNAcentral is "partial 16S ribosomal RNA". It matches the Rfam family "Bacterial small subunit ribosomal RNA", at positions 524 to 776 of the family's 1533-position model. The record is from RNAcentral.
UACGUAGGGACCAAGCGUUGUCCGGAAUCAUUGGGCGUAAAGAGCGUGUAGGCGGCUUGUUAAGUCUUGCGUGAAAUCUCGGGGCUCAACCCCGAGCGGUCGUGAGAAACUGGCAGGCUAGAGUGCGGGAGAGGAGAGUGGAAUUCCUGGUGUAGCGGUGAAAUGCGCAGAUAUCAGGAAGAACACCCGUGGCGAAGGCGGCUCUCUGGAACGCGACUGACGCUGAGACGCGAAAGCGUGGGGAGCAAACAGG